GUGGGGAAUAUUGGACAAUGGGGGGAACCCUGAUCCAGCCAUGCCGCGUGUGUGAAGAAGGCCUUUUGGUUGUAAAGCACUUUAAGCGAGGAGGAGGCUACCGAGAUUAAUACUCUUGGAUAGUGGACGUUACUCGCAGAAUAAGCACCGGCUAACUCUGUGCCAGCAGCCGCGGUAAUACAGAGGGUGCAAGCGUUAAUCGGAUUUACUGGGCGUAAAGCGCGCGUAGGUGGCCAAUUAAGUCAAAUGUGAAAUCCCCGAGCUUAACUUGGGAAGUGCAUUCGAUACUGGUUGGCUAGAGUAUGGGAGAGGAUGGUAGAAUUCCAGGUGUAGCGGUGAAAUGCGUAGAGAUCUGGAGGAAUACCGAUGGCGAAGGCAGCCAUCUGGCCUAAUACUGACACUGAGGUGCGAAAGCAUGGGGAGCAAACAGGAUUAGAAACCCGAGUAGUCC
RNAcentral lists this ribosomal RNA (451 nucleotides) under uncultured bacterium. RNAcentral describes it as "partial 16S ribosomal RNA". It matches the Rfam family "Bacterial small subunit ribosomal RNA", at positions 354 to 796 of the family's 1533-position model. The record is from RNAcentral.